CAGUGAUUAGCAGUGAUUAGCAUGGUGGUGGUGUAUGAGGUGUUAGUGUGUGUUGAGCUGGUGGUACAGUGAGUGGAUUAGAUACAGCAGUGAUUAGCAGUGAUUAGCAUGGUGGUGGUGUAUGAGGUGUUAGUGUGUGUUGAGCUGGUGGUACAGUGAGUGGAUCAGAUACAGCAGUGAUUAGCAGUGAUUAGCAUGGUGGUGGUGUAUGAGGUGUUAGUGUGUGUUGAGCUGGUGGUACAGUGAGUGGAUCAGAUACAGCAGUGAUUAGCAGUGAUUAGCAUGGUGGUGGUGUAUGAGGUGUUAGUGUGUGUUGAGCUGGUGGUACAGUGAGUGGAUCAGAUACAGCAGUGAUUAGCAGUGAUUAGCAUGGUGGUGGUGUAUGAGGUGUUAGUGUGUGUUGAGCUGGUGGUACAGUGAGUGGAUCAGAUACAGCAGUGAUUAGCAGUGAUUAGCAUGGUGGUGGUGUAUGAGGUGUUAGUGUGUGUUGAGCUGGUGGUACAGUGAGUGGAUCAGAUACAGCAGUGAUUAGCAGUGAUUAGCAUGGUGGUGGUGUAUGAGGUGUUAGUGUGUGUUGAGCUGGUGGUACAGUGAGUGGAUCAGAUACAGCAGUGAUUAGCAGUGAUUAGCAUGGUGGUGGUGUAUGAGGUGUUAGUGAGUGUUGAGCUGCUGGUACAGUGAGUGGAUCAGAUACAGCAGUGAUUAGCAGUGAUUAGCAUGGUGGUGGUGUAUGAGGUGUUAGUGAGUGUUGAGCUGGUACAGUGAGUGGAUCAGAUACAGCAGUGAUUAGCAGUGAUUAGCAUGGUGGUGGUGUAUGAGGUGUUAG
This is a long non-coding RNA of Astyanax mexicanus (Mexican tetra), 826 nucleotides long. RefSeq lists it as uncharacterized. The record is from RefSeq and is a predicted model, not a curated record. Lineage: Eukaryota; Metazoa; Chordata; Actinopteri; Characiformes; Acestrorhamphidae. The transcript has 3 exons.